RNAcentral lists this ribosomal RNA (446 nucleotides) under uncultured bacterium. RNAcentral describes it as "bacterial SSU rRNA". It matches the Rfam family "Bacterial small subunit ribosomal RNA", at positions 331 to 795 of the family's 1533-position model. The record is from RNAcentral.
CCAGACUCCUACGGGAGGCAGCAGUGGGGAAUAUUGCACAAUGGGGGAAACCCUGAUGCAGCGACGCCGCGUGAGUGAAGAAGUAUUUCGGUAUGUAAAGCUCUAUCAGCAGGGAAGAAAAUGACGGUACCUGAAUAAGAAGCCCCGGCUAACUACGUGCCAGCAGCCGCGGUAAUACGGAGGAUGCGAGCGUUAUCCGGAUUUAUUGGGUUUAAAGGGUGCGCAGGCGGCACGGCAAGCCGGCGGUCAAAUCGCGGGGCUCAACCCCGCCCAGCCGUCGGAACUGCCGGGCUAGAGUGGGCGAGAAGUAUGCGGAAUGCGUGGUGUAGCGGUGAAAUGCAUAGAUAUCACGCAGAACUCCGAUUGCGAAGGCAGCAUACCGGCGCGCAACUGACGCUCAUGCACGAAAGCGUGGGGAUCGAACAGGAUUAGAUACCCGUGUAUAC